UAGCUUAAUUUAAAGCAUCCCGCUUACACCGGGGAAAUACCUGUGAGAUCCAGAUUGCUCCGA
This 63-nucleotide transfer RNA is filed under the name Fritziana fissilis (split-backed frog). Its description in RNAcentral is "partial tRNA-Val". Lineage: Eukaryota; Metazoa; Chordata; Amphibia; Anura; Hemiphractidae. The record is from RNAcentral.